Molecule: ribosomal RNA, 438 nt
Filed under: uncultured bacterium
Lineage: Bacteria
Description: bacterial SSU rRNA
Rfam family: Bacterial small subunit ribosomal RNA
Source: RNAcentral
GCUUAACGCGAAGAACCUUACCCGGGCUUGAAAGUUACUGAAGUUUUCGGAGAUGGAAACGUCCGCAAGGACAGGAAACUAGGUGCUGCAUGGCUGUCGUCAGCUCGUACCGUGAGGUGUUGGGUUAAGUCCCGCAACGAGCGCAACCCCUAUGUUUAGUUGCCAGCAUUUAAAGGUGGGGACUCUAAACAGACUGCCUGUGCAAACAGAGAGGAAGGAGGGGACGACGUCAAGUCAUCAUGGCCCUUACGUCCGGGGCUACACACGUGCUACAAUGGAUGGUACACAGGGCAGCAAGCUGGUAACAGCAAGCAAAUCCCAAAAAGCCAUUCACAGUUCGGAUAGAGGUCUGCAACUCGACCUCUUGAAGUUGGAUUCGCUAGUAAUCGCAUAUCAGCAAUGAUGCGGUGAAUACGUUCCCGGGUCUUGUACACACCG